RNAcentral lists this ribosomal RNA (221 nucleotides) under Enterococcus faecalis. RNAcentral describes it as "partial 16S ribosomal RNA". It matches the Rfam family "Bacterial small subunit ribosomal RNA", at positions 837 to 1056 of the family's 1533-position model. Lineage: Bacteria; Bacillati; Bacillota; Bacilli; Lactobacillales; Enterococcaceae. The record is from RNAcentral.
CCUUCAGUGCUGCAGCAAACGCAUUAAGCACUCCGCCUGGGNAGUACNACCGCANGGUUGAAACUCAAAGGANUUGACGGGGGCCCGCACAAGCGGNGGAGCAUGUGGUUUANUUCGAAGCANCGCGAANANCCUUACCAGGUCUUGACAUCCUUUGACCACUCUAGAGAUAGAGCUUUCCCUUCGGGGACAAAGUGACAGGGNGGUGCANGGUUGUCGUC